AGUUAAGCUACUAAGUGCUUACGGUGGAUGCCUUGGCGUUCAAGUGCCGAUGAAGGACGUGGGACACUGCGAUAAGCCUCGAGGAGCCGUGAACAGGCGUUGAUCCGAGGAUCUCCGAAUAGGGAAACCUACAUUGGGAAACCCAAUGUAUCCUCCAGCUGAAUACAUAGGUUGGAGGAAGGGAACCUAGGGAACUGAAACAUCUUAGUACCUAAGAGGAAAAGAGAAUAUUCCCCUAGUAGUGGCGAGCGAACGGGGAGCAGCCCAAACCGGCCGUGCUUGCAUGGCCGGGGUUGAAGGGCCUGAUCUAUAGAAGUUACAAAUUAUCGCGUUAGUAGAAAGGUGUGAAAAAGCCUACCAAAGAGGGUUAUAGUCCCGUAAACGAAAACGCGCUAACUUCUUUCAGGACCCCUGAGUACAACCAGACACGCUAAUUUGGUUGGAAGCUGGGAAGACCAUUUUCCCAAGGCUAAAUACACUUGAAGACCGAUAGCGAAAUAGUACCGUGAGGGAAAGGUGAAAAGUACCCCGAUGAGGGGAGUGAAAUAGAACCUGAAACCGUGAGCAUAUAAUCUGUCGGAGGACUAUGGUAGGCUGAGCGCAGGCGUAAGUCUGUGGCCGCUAUCACGUCUGACGGCGUGCUUUUUGGAGAACGAGCCUGCGAGUUAAUCUCAGUGGCGAGGUUAAGGGAGUAACACCCGGAGCCGGAGCGAAAGCGAGUCGUCCUAAUAGGGCGCGAGUGGCUGGGAUUAGACACGAAACCAAGUGAGCUACUCAUGACCAGGAUGAAGCGGGUCUAAACACCCGUGGAGGUCCGAACUUUUCAAUAUUGCAAAAUUGUGAGAUGAGUUGUGGGUAGAGGUGAUAUGCCAAUCGAACUUGGAUAUAGCUUGUUCUCUCCGAAAUAGCUUUAGGGUUAGCGUCAUAUAUUGAGUGUUGGAGGUAGAGCCACUGGACGGGCUAAGGGGCUUGUCGCCUACUGAACCUAACCAAACUCCGAAUGCCAACACUUUAGAAUAUGGCAGUUAGACUACGGGAGAUGAGUUUCGUGGUCAAAAGGGAAAGAACCCAGACCAUCGGCUAAGGUCCCCAAGUGUAAACUAAGUGGAAAACGAAGUAAGACUACUGAGACAACCAGGAGGUUGGCUUAGAAGCAGCCAUUCCUUGAAAGAGUGCGUAACAGCUCACUGGUCAAGUGGUCUUGCGCGGAAAAUUUAACGGGGCUAAGUUUACCACCGAAGCCAUGGGUUUCAGUCUUCGGACUGGAGCGGUAGGAGAGCGUUCUGUCAGCAGGGAAGGUCGACCGUGAGGACGGCUGGAGCGGGCAGAAGUGAGAAUGCAGGCAUGAGUAGCGUGAAACAUGUGAGAAUCAUGUUCGUCGAAAACCUAAGGUUUCCGAUGCCAGGUCAAUCCGCAUCGGGUUAGUCGGUCCUUAGUCGAGGCCGGAAGGCGUAGGCGAUGGAUAUCUGGUCAACAUUCCAGAACUAUUCAGAAGGAGCGAUGGGGUGACGCAGGGAGGUAAACCAGCCUACAAUUGGAUGUAGGUGGAAAUGUGUAGGCGUUGACGUCCGCAGGCAAAUCCGUGGACUGAGCCGAGGCAUGAGUGCGAGCCCAAGAGGCGGAAGUGGUUGAUCCUUGCUGCCAAGAAAACCCUCUAAGUGUUGAAUUCUGAAUAUCCGUACCGCAAACCGACACUGGUAGGUAGGUAGAGCAUACCUAGACGAACGAGAGAACCUUCGUUAAGGAACUCGGCAAAUUAACCCCGUAACUUCGGGAGAAGGGGUGCCUUCCAUCGUGAACGUAAAACUACGGGAGCGUAGGAAGGUCGCAGCAAACAGGCUCUGGUGACUGGUUACCAAAACCACAGGUCUCUGCUAAAUCGUAAGAUGAUGUAUAGGGGCUGACACCUGCCCAGUGCCGGAAGGUCACAGGGAAGAGUUAGCGCAAGCGAAGCUCUGAACUAAAGCCCCGGUGAACGGCGGCCGUAACUAUAACGGUCCUAAGGUAGCGAAAUUCCUUGUCGGGUAAGUUCCGACCCGCACGAAAGGUGUAACAAUCAGAGCGCUGUCUCGACGAAGGACUCGGUGAAAUUGAAGUACGCGUAAAGAUGCGCGUUACCCGCAGCAGCACAAAAAGACCCCGUGGAGCUUUACUGCAGGCUGUCAUUGUGUUUGGACAUGGUUUGUGCAGGAUAGGUGGGAGGCUAGGAAACCGGAGCGCCAGCUUCGGUGGAGCCGCCACUGGAAUACCACCCUGAUCAUGUUUAGGCCCUAACUCCAGUCCGUGAUCCGGACUGAGGACAGUGCCAGUUGGGCAGUUUGACUGGGGCGGUCGCCUCCUAAAAAGUAACGGAGGCGCCCAAAGGUUCCCUCAGGUUGAAUGGAAACCAACCGUAGAGUGUAAAAGCAUAAGGGAGCUUGACUGCAAGACCAACGCGUCGAGCAGGGACGAAAGUCGGGUUUAGUGAUCCCAUGAUACCGUGUGGAAGGGUCAUGGCUUACCGGAUAAAAGCUACCCCGGGGAUAACAGACUAGUCUGGUCCAAGAGUUCACAUCGACGACCAGGCUCGGUACCUCGAUGUCGGCUCAUCGCAUCCUGGGGCUGAAUAAGGUCCCAAGGGUUGGGCUGUUCGCCCAUUAAAGCGGUACGUGAGCUGGGUUCAGACCGUCGUGAGACAGGUCGGUCUCUAUGCGCUGUGGGCGUAAGGAAUUUGCGAGGAGCUGCUCCUAGUACGAGAGGACCGGAGUGGACAGACCUCUAGUGUGCCAGUUGUUCCGCCAGGAGCAUCGCUGGGUAGCUACGUCUGGCAGAGAUAACCGCUGAAAGCAUCUAAGCGGGAAACUCGCCUCAAGAUUAGAUUCCUCAUCCCGUUAAGGGAGUAAGACCGCAGGAAGACUACCUGCUAGAUAGGCGGCGUGUGUAAGCACAGCAAUGUGUUGAGCUAAGCCGUACUAAUGGUCGAGGGCUUAAAACG
Molecule: ribosomal RNA, 2974 nt
Filed under: Anaerolineales bacterium
Lineage: Bacteria; Bacillati; Chloroflexota; Anaerolineae; Anaerolineales
Description: 23S ribosomal RNA
Rfam family: Bacterial large subunit ribosomal RNA
Source: RNAcentral